This is a long non-coding RNA of Oncorhynchus gorbuscha (pink salmon), 836 nucleotides long. RefSeq lists it as uncharacterized. The transcript has 2 exons. The record is from RefSeq and is a predicted model, not a curated record. NCBI's taxonomy places the organism in Eukaryota, Metazoa, Chordata, Actinopteri, Salmoniformes, Salmonidae.
UCCUGGAAAUCUUGCGAUGCUGCGCCUCUGGGUUUAGAAACUCUGUGAUUUGGUCGAUAAAACAGGUUGUCAGACACCAGUCUACAUCUGGGUAGAGAAACAUCCUAUACAUUCUGAAGUAUGUGCUGUACUUGGCUUCUAUUUUGAACAUCUAAUGGUGAUUUUUGUUUGGUUGACAUCCACCGGCAAACUUCGAUGACUUAAGUCGGAGACCUACAAGAUCAACAAGAGAAUGGGUGGAGAUGCAUCAAAAGAGCGAGCGGAUCAGGCAGAGAAAGACCGCGAUCAAGCAAAACUGAUAAACAGAAAGCGGAGGAGGACAGACAGAACAUGGAGAAGGAAAUGAAAAAGACAGAAGAGGAUAACAGGCAGCUCCUAGCUGAGAAAGUGAGAAUGGAAACAGAACAAAAGAUGGAAGAAAAACAAAGACAGGAGCUUGAGAACCAAAGACAAACAUUAAUAAAACACAAUAGACAGCGAGAGAAAGAUGAAAGGACAAGAAUUCAGCUGGAAAUUGCAAAAGGAAAUCAGAAAACUGUAUGAAAUGAAUCCACAUAUUAAGAGACAAAGGCAUACACGGUUAAAUGAUCCACAUAAUGAAUUAUUGGACAAGGAACACAAUCAUUGUAUACCUUUAAUAUCCACAAUUGCGCUGCCUGUUUUAUUUUCCCCAAAUGAUGUGCUUAAAGGGAUAGUUCACACACAUGACUUAGUGGUUUAAUAACCCUGUUAGCUGUUUUUGUUUACCUGGCUGCUGUCACCAAAUGCUUUUCAAACCAAUGCCUGUCAAUAUCUGAGAAUCCUCUGUAGCUUUGCAAUAAAUAGAUUCUAUUGAU